CCAAACCCAUGGCAGCAGAUCUGCCAAGGUCUGCCAUGAGAGGUGACUGUAUAGUUCCUUUAAGGAAAAGCACCUUUAGUCAAUCUGCUUUCUCUGUGAGAGCUUCCCAUGUCUGGAAUACACUGCUAUCAGACACACAACUGUACCACCUAUCACACCUUCACAAAAAACAUGAAGACAUGGAUAAAGACCAAUCAGUCUAGUGAACAUAAAGACAUGGCUAAAGGCCAAUCAGUCUAGUGAACAUAAAGACACAGCUAAAGGCCAAUCAGUCUAGUGAACAUAAAGACACAGCUAAAGGCCAAUCAGUCUAGUGAACAUAAAGACAUGGCUAAAGGCCAAUCAGUCUAGUGAACAUAAAGACACAGCUAAAGGCCAAUCAGUCUAGUGAACAUAAAGACAUGGCUAAAGGCCAAUCAGUCUAGUGAACAUAAAGACACAGCUAAAGGCCAAUCAGUCUAGUGAACAUAAAGACACAGCUAAAGGCCAAUCAGUCUAGUGAACAUGAAGACAUGGCUAAAGGCCAAUCAGUCUAGUGAACAUAAAGACAUGGCUAAAGGCCAAUCAGUCUAGUGAACAUAAAGACACAGCUAAAGGCCAAUCAGUCUAGUGAACAUAAAGACAUGGCUAAAGACCAAUCAGUCUAGUGAACAUAAAGACACAGCUAAAGGCCAAUCAGUCUAGUGAACAUAAAGACACAGCUAAAGGCCAAUCAGUCUAGUAAACAUGAAGACACGGCUAAAGGCCAAUCAGUCUAGUGAACAUAAAGACACAGCUAAAGGCCAAUCAGUCUAGUGAACAUGAAGACACAGCUAAAGGCCAAUCAGUCUAGUGAACAUAAAGACAUGGCUAAAGGCCAAUCAGUCUAGUGAACAUAAAGACACAGCUAAAGGCCAAUCAGUCUAGUGAACAUAAAGACACAGCUAAAGACCAAUCAGUCUAGUGAACAUAAAGACAUGGCUAAAGGCCAAUCAGUCUAGUGAACAUAAAGACAUGGAUAAAGACCAAUCAGUCUAGUGAACAUAAAGACACAGCUAAAGGCCAAUCAGUCUAGUGAACAUAAAGACAUGGCUAAAGGCCAAUCAGUCUAGUGAACAUGAAGACACGGCUAAAGGCCAAUCAGUCUAGUGAACAUGAAGACAUGGCUAAAGGCCAAUCAGUCUAGUGAACAUAGGGUUUGAGCUUGCCCUCGCCUCCCUACCUUGUCCGCCCGAGGCUAUCGAUUUUAGCUUACUCCCUCCGGACCAUUGACAACCUCUUGUACGCCCUAUGUGCUCUGGGCAGACCCCUAGUGGAGCCCCCUUAGUAUGUGCCAUCUAAUCUUAUCAAUACUUCAAUAUAAAAUCAAUAGAAAGUAGGUAUAAAGACAAGGCUAAAGACCAAUCAGACUAGUGAACAUAAAGACAUAGCUGUGCAUUGCAGCUCUCCAUGUUGUCUGUAGCUGGUGAGAUGUGCAUUGCCUCUCCAUGUUGUCUGUAGCUGGUGAGAUGUGCAUUGUCUCUCCAUGUUGUCUGUAGCUGGUGAGAUGUGCAUUGUCUCUCCAUGUUGUCUGUAGCUGGUGAGAUGUGCAUUGUCUCUCCAUGUUGUCUGUAGCUGGUGAGAUGUGCAUUGUCUCUCCAUGUUGUCUGUAGCUGGUGAGAUGUGCAUUGUCUCUCCAUGUUGUCUGUAGCUGGUGAGAUGUGGAAACACUUGCUUUUAUUUUGUUUUGUUGCAUUUUGUGCUAUUUUUCUGUCUGCAUGCAACGUGUUGAUUGUCCUAUGUUGCUCUGUCUGUCUGCAUGCUAAGUGUGGCUUGUCCUAUGUUGCUCUGUCUGUCUGCAUGCUAAGUGUGGCUUGUCCUAUGUUUCUCUGUCUGUCUGCAUGCUAAGUGUGGAUUGUUCUAUGUUUCUCUGUCUGUCUGCAUGCUAAGUGUGGAUUGUCCUAUGUUGCUUUGACUGCAUGCUAUGUGUUGCUUCUCCUAUGUUGCUCUGUCUGUCUGCAUGCUAUGUGUUGCUUCUCCUAUGUUGCUCUGUCUGCAUGCUACGUGUUGCUGGUCCUAUGUUGCUCUGCGUGUGGCCACUGCUCAUUGUUUGUCUGUAUUGUUAUUGGAAUUGUUUUUAAUAACCAGCCCAGGGACUGAGGUUGAAAAUUAGCUAAAACCGACACUUUUACUGAAACAUUGAUUAAUGUGCACUGUCCCUGUAAAAAUCAAAAUUAACUCAAACUGUCUGUAGGAGCGAACCAUUAUCGUGAACGGGGUGGUGUACUUAAUAAACUGGCCAGUGAGUAUAUAGUUAUUACUAAGUGUGUAUAUAUUGUAUGUAUGUGUGUGUUCUGAUGAGAUGUAUUUAUUAUUGUUCAGUGUCUUAUACCAGAAUGUGAAUAAAGGUUCAACUGAA
RNAcentral lists this long non-coding RNA (2377 nucleotides) under Salmo salar (Atlantic salmon). Its description in RNAcentral is "lncRNA (ENSSSAG00000090022.1)". The record is from RNAcentral. Lineage: Eukaryota; Metazoa; Chordata; Actinopteri; Salmoniformes; Salmonidae.